Molecule: ribosomal RNA, 254 nt
Filed under: uncultured bacterium
Lineage: Bacteria
Description: partial 16S ribosomal RNA
Rfam family: Bacterial small subunit ribosomal RNA
Source: RNAcentral
UACGUAGGGUCCGAGCGUUGUCCGGAUUUAUUGGGCGUAAAGAGCUCGUAGGCGGUUUCGUAAGUCGGAUGUGAAAACUCAGGGCUCAACCCGGAGACGCCAUCUGAUACUGCGAUGACUGGAGUCUGGUAGGGGAUCACGGAAUACCUGGUGUAGCGGUGAAAUGCGCAGAUAUCAGGAAGAACACCUAUGGCGAAGGCAGCUCUCUGGGACGGUACUGACGCUGAGACGCGAAAGCGUGGGGAGCAAACAGG